This 439-nucleotide ribosomal RNA is filed under the name uncultured prokaryote. Its description in RNAcentral is "bacterial SSU rRNA". It matches the Rfam family "Bacterial small subunit ribosomal RNA", at positions 342 to 774 of the family's 1533-position model. The record is from RNAcentral.
CCGGGGGCUGCCGUCGAGAAUUUUUCCCCAUGGGCGCAAGCCUGCUGGAGCGACGCCGCGUGGGGGAUGAAUGGCUUCGGCCCGUAAACCCCUGUCAUUUGCGAUCAACCGUUGUUGUUUAAGAGAUGACAACCUGAUAGUAGCGAAAGAGGAAGGGACGGCUAACUCUGUGCCAGCAGCCGCGGUAAUACAGAGGUCCCAAGCGUUGUUCGGAUUCACUGGGCGUAAAGGGUGCGUAGGUGGCAAGGUAAGUCGGAUGUGAAAUCUCCGAGCUGAACUCGGAAAGGGCAUUGGAAACUGCUUGGCUCGAGGGUUGGAGGGGGGACUGGAAUACUUGGUGUAGCAGUGAAAUGCGUAGAUAUCAAGUGGAACACCAGUGGCGAAGGCGAGUCCCUGGACAACUCCUGACACUGAGGCACGAAAGCUAGGGGAGCAAACA